This 167-nucleotide ribosomal RNA is filed under the name uncultured bacterium. RNAcentral describes it as "partial 16S ribosomal RNA". It matches the Rfam family "Bacterial small subunit ribosomal RNA", at positions 1333 to 1500 of the family's 1533-position model. The record is from RNAcentral.
CGCUAGUAAUCGCGGAUCAGCAUGCCGCGGUGAAUACGUUCCCGGGCCUUGUACACACCGCCCGUCACACCAUGAGAGUCGGGAACACCCGAAGUCCGUAGCCUAACAGCAAUGGGGCGCGGCCGAAGGUGGGUUCGAUAAUUGGGGUGAAGUCGUAACAAGGUAGC